AAGGAUAUAAUUUAAAGGUAAAAUAAUUGACUUCAAAUCAAUUUUUAGGAGUUCGAGUCUCUUUGUCCUUG
This 71-nucleotide transfer RNA is filed under the name Vanderwaltozyma polyspora. Its description in RNAcentral is "transfer RNA-Trp". It matches the Rfam family "tRNA". Rfam says of the family: Transfer RNA (tRNA) molecules are approximately 80 nucleotides in length. Their secondary structure includes four short double-helical elements and three loops (D, anti-codon, and T loops). The record is from RNAcentral. Lineage: Eukaryota; Fungi; Ascomycota; Saccharomycetes; Saccharomycetales; Saccharomycetaceae.